This 564-nucleotide ribosomal RNA is filed under the name uncultured Glomeromycotina. Its description in RNAcentral is "SSU rRNA". It matches the Rfam family "Eukaryotic small subunit ribosomal RNA", at positions 548 to 1114 of the family's 1831-position model. Lineage: Eukaryota; Fungi; Glomeromycota. The record is from RNAcentral.
UUGGAGGGCAAGUCUGGUGCCAGCAGCCGCGGUAAUUCCAGCUCCAAUAGCGUAUAUUAAAGUUGUUGCAGUUAAAAAGCUCGUAGUUGAAUUUCGGGAUCAGAGUGUCGGUCGUGCCUCGGUACGAACUGGUAUUAUUGGUUCCUACCUUCUGAAGAACCGCGAUGUCAUUAAUUUGGUGUCGUGGGGAAUCAGGACUGUUACUUUGAAAAAAUUAGAGUGUUUAAAGCAGGCUUACGCUUGAAUACAUUAGCAUGGAAUAAUGAAAUAGGACGUUUGAUUCUAUUUUGUUGGUUUCUAGGAUUGACGUAAUGAUUAAUAGGGAUAGUUGGGGGCAUUAGUAUUCAAUUGUCAGAGGUGAAAUUCUUGGAUUUAUUGAAGACUAACUACUGCGAAAGCAUUUGCCAAGGAUGUUUUCAUUAAUCAAGAACGAAAGUUAGGGGAUCGAAGACGAUCAGAUACCGUCGUAGUCUUAACCAUAAACUAUGCCGACUAGGGAUCGGAUGAUGUUAAUUUUUUAACGACUCAUUCGGCGCCUUACGGGAAACCAAAGUGUUUGGGUUC